RNAcentral lists this long non-coding RNA (223 nucleotides) under Homo sapiens (human). RNAcentral describes it as "HSALNT0336819". The record is from RNAcentral. Lineage: Eukaryota; Metazoa; Chordata; Mammalia; Primates; Hominidae.
CUUCGCGCUCCCUCGUGUCACGAGGGAGCCAGGGUGGGCGGUCUCCUAUUGUACUUGGCUUUUGAAUUUUCGCUUUUGCAGCACAAAGGUCUCUCCUGCCACCUUGUGAAGAAGGCAUCUGCUUCCCCUUCACCUUUCUCCAUGAUCGUAAGCUUCCUAAGGCCUCCAAAGCCAUGCAGAACUGCUGGAGUGCAGUGGUGCGAUCUUGGCUCACGGCAACCUC